RNAcentral lists this ribosomal RNA (124 nucleotides) under uncultured bacterium. RNAcentral describes it as "partial 16S ribosomal RNA". The record is from RNAcentral.
GCCGGGGCUUCUUCUACGGCUACCGUCAUUAUCUUCACCGUUGAAAGAGCUUUACAACCCUAGGGCCGUCAUCACUCACGCGGCAUGGCUGGAUCAGGCUUGCGCCCAUUGUCCAAUAUUCCCC